RNAcentral lists this long non-coding RNA (485 nucleotides) under Salvator merianae (Argentine black and white tegu). RNAcentral describes it as "lncRNA (ENSSMRG00000001261.1)". Lineage: Eukaryota; Metazoa; Chordata; Lepidosauria; Squamata; Teiidae. The record is from RNAcentral.
GUGAGGUGGGAGGGGGGAUAGAGCGAGGAGGCAGCGGCGCGAGGAAACUCGGCGCGCACGCUGAUUGGCCCCCUCUCUGCGCGCGCGCGCGCGCGCGUCCUCCCCCCAGCUCUACUGCCUCUCUGGACGGGGGGGGAGAGGGGUGUGGAGAGAAGGCAGCAGGUAGCGAUUGGGUGGGGCCGUAGUCCUCGCUCCCGGCGUGCGCGGGACCGUACGGAGGACCCCACAUAUGCUGAAUGCUGAUUGGACGACAUGACGAGCACUUUGACCAUUUGCUGAGCGAAGCUUCGUCUUUAACAAAAUGGCGGCGGUGUGCACUGAAUCAUUACUCGAAAUUGUCAGUGUUUUUCCCACCACCACCUCNCGGGCACGCACACGCUACAUUAUUCGCGUUCUUGAUGGCUCUUCACAAACUCGAAAUAGAAAAUACAAGACAAAUGAGCCUCUCAGUGUAUUUUUCCCUGAAAGUAAAGAGGUGNAAUUAA